Molecule: ribosomal RNA, 451 nt
Filed under: uncultured bacterium
Lineage: Bacteria
Description: partial 16S ribosomal RNA
Rfam family: Bacterial small subunit ribosomal RNA
Source: RNAcentral
AACGAACGCUGGCGGCAGGCUUAACACAUGCAAGUCGAACGCGUGUAGCAAUACACGAGUGGCGCACGGGUGAGUAACGCGUGGGAAUCUACCUAGCUCUACGGAAUAACCCAGGGAAACUUGGACUACUACCGUAUACGUCCUUCGGGAUAAAGAUUUAUCGGAGUUAGAUGAGCCCGCGUUGGAUUAGCUAGUUGGUGGGGUAAUUGCCUAUCAAGGCGACGAUCCAUAGCGUGUAUGAGAGCAUGAGCAGCCGCACUGGGACUGAGACACGUCCUGGACUCCUACGUGGGGCAGCAGUGGGGGAUAUUGGACAAUGGGCGAAGGCCUGAUCCAGCCAGGCGGCGUUAGUUAUGAAGGCCCUAGGAUUGUAAAGCUCUUUCACCAGUGAAGAUAAUGACGAUAACCUGAGAAGCAGCCCCGUCUAACUUCGUGCCAGCAGCCGCAGUAA